Oxyura jamaicensis (ruddy duck) is the source of this 739-nucleotide long non-coding RNA. RefSeq lists it as uncharacterized. Lineage: Eukaryota; Metazoa; Chordata; Aves; Anseriformes; Anatidae. The record is from RefSeq and is a predicted model, not a curated record. The transcript is spliced from 3 exons.
GCUCAGGUGUGCUGUGGCAGCUUAACUUACAGGCUGAAGCUAGAACCUGUUCAUAGGUGAAUGUUUCAAUUCAGCGUGCAUCUGAAUAAUGAAGAUAGUGAUUGCUGCGUGCAGUUUCUUGCAGGCAAUAUGCACAUAAUGAAAGGUCUCAAAAGAUUCUAAAAGCUGAAGCCUCAAUUUUGAAAUUAUCUUCGCAGAAAUCAACUCCCAUUCUUCCCUGGAGUCUUCAGAAAUAAACAGCUGAGAUGCCAUGUGUAUAGAGCUCACCCUGAGAUCAGUGCAUGGGUAUACACAGUAUUUUGGAAUAAAAAAUAGCAUUAUUCAUUUUUUUUGGUAAUUGAGUUUUUAUAUAUCCUGAGAGAUUGCCAUGGCUCUGAAUUUUUUAUGCCCCAGUCUUGCAAAUAUUAUCAAUUAAUUCCAAACCAGUUAAAAUUAGCAAGUCAGGUAGGCAAGCCUUAGGCUGCUAAAUACAAAGCAACAAAGCCAAAAGCAGCACUGCUUAUUUCGAUGGACAUUCACAUUAAUUUUACUUGCUUUUCUAUAAACAAGCUGUGCUAUUUGUUGCACGUAUCCCAACCCAGAUUCAUGUCUUGGGCUGCUUCAGACACCUAACUGCAGCUCCCACAGCCAGAGUCCAGCUGCCGUAGGCUCCCUCUGCAGUCAAUGAGAAGUGACAAGCAUCCUGAGAGGGUGAUUCAUGGACCACACCAAAGAUCUGGAUCUCUUGCUCCACUGAUUA